AUUGAACGCUGGCGGCAUGCCUUACACAUGCAAGUCGAACGGCAGCACGGGAGCAAUCCUGGUGGCGAGUGGCGAACGGGUGAGUAAUAUAUCGGAACGUGCCCAGUCGUGGGGAUAACGUAGCGAAAGCUACGCUAAUACCGCAUACUAUCUAUGGAUGAAAGCGGGGGAUCGCAAGACCUCGCGCGAUUGGAGCGGCCGAUAUCAGAUUAGGUAGUUGGUGAGGUAAAGGCUCACCAAGCCGACGAUCUGUAGCUGGUCUGAGAGGACGACCAGCCACACUGGGACUGAGACACGGCCCAGACUCCUACGGGAGGCAGCAGUGGGGAAUUUUGGACAAUGGGCGCAAGCCUGAUCCAGCAAUGCCGCGUGCAGGAUGAAGGCCUUCGGGUU
Molecule: ribosomal RNA, 393 nt
Filed under: uncultured bacterium
Lineage: Bacteria
Description: bacterial SSU rRNA
Rfam family: Bacterial small subunit ribosomal RNA
Source: RNAcentral